RNAcentral lists this long non-coding RNA (300 nucleotides) under Prunus persica (peach). Its description in RNAcentral is "long non-coding RNA (PPER_LNC005755)". Lineage: Eukaryota; Viridiplantae; Streptophyta; Magnoliopsida; Rosales; Rosaceae. The record is from RNAcentral.
CACCAUCAGACUCAUAGUUAGUAGUCAUCGUCCCGUGGAUCAUGAUCCUCUAAUGCAUACUUGCAGAUAAUUUUCAGCAUUCUCCAAAGUUUUCUCCAAGGAUACGCUUACACGCCCCUUCCCCAUGGUAUAUGCAGACUCCACCCGGCGCACGACCUCGGCAUAAAGAGCCUCUAGUCCAUCAAAUUCAGCAGGAUCCACUUUUGCGAAAAUGGUGUCUAUACGACCACCAGGCUUCCUUUUUAUGACAUACAGACAAUUUGGAUCUCUUUUGGUGCCUGAAGAUGAUCCUUCUUCUCC